RNAcentral lists this ribosomal RNA (513 nucleotides) under Triticum aestivum (bread wheat). Its description in RNAcentral is "partial small subunit ribosomal RNA". Lineage: Eukaryota; Viridiplantae; Streptophyta; Magnoliopsida; Poales; Poaceae. The record is from RNAcentral.
AUGAGCCCUUACAGAAUAACUUCAGUUACAGGUAGGUGUCGAAGGGAACUUUGUGUGGUUUGUUCUGCUCCUGCCGCGACGUCGUCCACCUCACCUGAGCUGCUCCAUCGACAGAAGCAUCCACCAAACCAGAUAUCAUGUCUCCUGACCGUCUUUCGCCGCCUCAGAUCUCCUUCCCUGCCACCGGCACCCACCGCAACGGCAUCACCAUCAUCGACUCAGCAGAUGAACCUGAGGAGUACACGGGUCCACAAGAGAGAUAUUAUACACAGUCAUGCUGAACAUGUAGAGAAAAAGAGAAGAAUUUUGCGCGGCAAUACAAUGUCAUGCAGACAUUGCUCCAUGAUGGGUUCAAUGGAAAACCCUCCCCACCCCUCUCCAGAUUGUAAUCCAGAGGAAGAUAUCAGUUCUGAGGCGGAUUCAGACGCCGCUGACCACUCCAAUUUACCCCCCAAGGUGUUUGCUCUACCUUGGCAUGAUGAUGUUAGUCAUAUCAUGCAUAUGUUGCCUUGA